Molecule: unclassified non-coding RNA, 329 nt
Filed under: soil metagenome
Description: partial contains 5.8S ribosomal RNA, internal transcribed spacer 2, and large subunit ribosomal RNA
Rfam family: 5.8S ribosomal RNA (bases 1-120)
Source: RNAcentral
GAUGAAGAACGUAGCGAAAUGCGAUAAGUAGUGUGAAUUGCAGAAUUCAGUGAAUCAUCGAAUCUUUGAACGCACAUUGCGCCCCUUGGUAUCCCGAGGGGCAUGCCUGUUCGAGCGUCAUUUCACCACUCAAGCCUGGCUUGGUGUUGGGCGACGUCCCCUUUGGGGACGCGCCUCGAAACGCUCGGCGGCGUGGCACCGGCUUUAAGCGUAGCAGAAUCUUUCGCUUUGGAAGUCGGGGCUCCGUCUGCCGGAAGACCUACUCGCAAGGUUGACCUCGGAUCAGGCAGGGAUACCCGCUGAACUUAAGCAUAUCAAUAAGCGGAGGA